CGAAAGCCUGACGGAGCAAGACCGCGUGGGGGAGGAAGGCUCUAGGGUUGUAAACCCCUUUUCUUUGGGAAGAAGCUCUGACGGUACCAGAUGAAUCAGCCUCGGCUAACUCCGUGCCAGCAGCCGCGGUAAUACGGAGGAGGCAAGCGUUAUCCGGAAUGAUCGGGCGUAAAGCGUCCGCAGGUGGCAAUGUAAGUCUGCUGUCAAAACCCAGGGCUCAACUCUGGUCAGGCAGUGGAAACUACAUAGCUAGAGUUCGGUAGGGGCGAAGGGAAUGCCCGGUGUAGCGGUGAAAUGCGUAGAGAUCGGGAAGAACAUCGGUGGCGAAAGCGCUUUGCUAGACCGAAACUGACACUCAGGGACGAAAGCUAGGGGAGCG
RNAcentral lists this ribosomal RNA (379 nucleotides) under uncultured cyanobacterium. RNAcentral describes it as "bacterial SSU rRNA". It matches the Rfam family "Bacterial small subunit ribosomal RNA", at positions 376 to 770 of the family's 1533-position model. Lineage: Bacteria; Bacillati; Cyanobacteriota. The record is from RNAcentral.